Molecule: ribosomal RNA, 428 nt
Filed under: uncultured bacterium
Lineage: Bacteria
Description: bacterial SSU rRNA
Rfam family: Bacterial small subunit ribosomal RNA
Source: RNAcentral
UGAGGAAUUUUGCGCAAUGGGGGAAACCCUGACGCAGCAACGCCGCGUGAGUGAUGAAGGCCUUCGGGUCGUAAAGCUCUGUCAAGUGGGAAGAAAUCAGGUCGUGCGAAUACCACGGCCAGUUGACGGUACCACUAAAGGAAGCACCGGCUAACUCCGUGCCAGCAGCCGCGGUAAUACGGGGGGUGCAAGCGUUAUUCGGAAUUAUUGGGCGUAAAGCGCACGUAGGCGGUCUCUUAAGUCAGAUGUGAAAGCCCGGGGCUCAACCCCGGAAGUGCAUUUGAAACUAGGGGACUUGAGUAUGGGAGAGGGAAGUGGAAUUCCUGGUGUAGCGGUGAAAUGCGUAGAUAUCAGGAGGAACACCGGUGGCGAAGGCGACUUCCUGGACCAAUACUGACGCUGAGGUGCGAAGGCGUGGGGAGCAAACA